GGUGGCGGCGGCGGCGGCCCCCGCGGCCGCGCUGAAUGAGGGCAGGGAGGGAGCGGAGGGAGGGAGCGAAGGGCUGGCCGGGAGCCUGGCGGCGGCAGCGGCGGCGGCUCCGGGGAUGGUCCACGCAGCGGCGCCGUCCCGCGUCGUUCUCCUCGGAGCGAGCCUGAGCCGCGGCGGCGGGCGGAGGGGGUCCCCGCCGCCGGUCUGGGUGCGGGGCGCCGGGAAAGUCCGCGGAGAAGCCGGCCCGCAGGGAGCCGCCGCCGGCCUGGGGCGCGGGAGGGGGCUGCGCCGCCGGGCGCCGAGGCGCUGCUGCCUGGAAUGAGGAGGAGGAGGAAGAGGGGAUGUGCCUGCCUGCCUGCCUGCCUGCCUGCCUGCCGCCGCCGCGCCUGGAGAUGGCACUUUGUGCGCCUAACGAGAUGGGACUGAAUGGGGUCGCCAGCCUCCUCCGCGCGGCCGAGCGGGAGAAGCUACAGCAGCCUCAGCGCUGAUACUUGGAGGGCGGCUGCCUUGUGGUUGUUAUUAUUUUUUCUAUAUAUAUUUUUUUAUAUUUGGGGGACGAAGAGUGUUUUUCUUUUUUUUUUUUUCUUUUUUUUUUUUUUUUUUCUUCGGGUGCAAAGCCCGGACUUUGCAAAACAAUCUCCGCCCCCACGAGGAUAUUUAAUCUGCAGCAGAAAUCGCUACUCGCGGAGGCAAACUUGCGAAGGGAAGCGGGGUGCGGGGGCAGGCGGGCACCCCCGGCCCGCAGGAUGCGUGCCCCCUCCCCGGCCGCUGCUCCUGGGACGAGGCUUUCGGCUGCACCGAGCGGGACUGGACUUCUUACGGACACGCUCACCCAUCUGAGGGCGAUUCGGGCAUAAACAGCGACACAAACUCUGAUUUGGUGCUGGAAGCUGCCUCUGCCGCCGAACAGCUGCUCGCCCUCUGCUUCUGUCCUGUUUUCAGAAGGGGAUCCUGAGCUCUUUUGCCUUUUUUUUUUUUUGUUGUUGUUGUUAAUUGUUGUUGCAUGAAUUUUGUUUUACGUGGUUGUCUUUUCCGGCUGGCUUGGCUGUUUUGGGGUCUUGUGGACUACUGACUGCCGUAACAGCACCGCCACCUCUCGCCAUGGCCAGCCCCACAGAUAACAACGAGGGCUUCUUCUCGGAUGUCAGAAAGGUGGGUUACUUGCGCAAACCCAAGAGCAUGCAUAAACGCUUUUUCGUGCUGAGGGCAGCCAGCGAGUCUGGACCCGCCCGGCUGGAGUAUUACGAGAAUGAGAAGAAAUGGAGACACAAGUCAGGGGCCCCCAAGCGCUCCAUCCCACUGGAAAGCUGCUUCAACAUCAACAAACGGGCUGACUCCAAGAACAAGCACCUGGUGGCCCUCUACACCAAGGACGAGCACUUUGCCAUUGCAGCUGACAGCGAGCCUGAGCAGGAGAGCUGGUACCAAGCGCUGCUGCAGUUGCACAACCGGGCCAAGGGCCACCACCACCUCCACCACCAUCACCACCACCACCACAGCGAUGUCACCUUUGGAGGCAGCAGCGUGGGGCUGGGGGAAGCAGGAGAGGACAGCUAUGGCGAGGUAGCCCCUGGCCCGGCUUUUAAGGAGGUUUGGCAAGUAAUCCUGAAGCCUAAGGGGCUAGGCCAGACAAAGAACCUGAUUGGCAUCUACCGCCUGUGCCUGACUAACAAGACCAUCAGCUUUGUGAAGCUGAACUCUGAUGCGGCUGCUGUGGUGCUGCAGCUGCUCAAUAUCCGCCGCUGCGGUCACUCCGAGAACUUCUUCUUCAUUGAGGUGGGGCGCUCAGCUGUGACUGGGCCCGGUGAGUUCUGGAUGCAAGUGGAUGACUCGGUGGUGGCGCAGAACAUGCACGAAACCAUCCUGGAGGCCAUGCGAGCCAUGAGUGAGGAAUUCCGGCCCCGCAGCAAGAGCCAGUCCUCCUCCAACUGUUCCAACCCCAUUUCUGUGCCCCUCCGUAGUAGGCACCACAUCAACAACCCUCCGCCCAGCCAAGUGGGGCUCAGUCGCCGCUCCAGGACUGAGAGCGUCACAGCCACCUCUCCUGCCGGCGGAGGGGGUGGAGGCACGGGUGGCAAACCCAGCUCUUUCCGGGUUCGUGCAUCAAGCGAUGGGGAAGGCACGAUGUCAAGGCCUGCCUCAGUGGAUGGUAGCCCAGUGAGUCCAAGCGCCAACCGGACACACUCGCAUAGACAUCGUGGCAACUCCAGGCUCCAUCCUCCACUCAACCACAGCCGUUCCAUCCCGAUGCCUUCCUCGCGCUGCUCUCCUUCAGCCACCAGCCCAGUCAGCCUGUCAUCAAGUAGCACCAGUGGGCAUGGCUCCACGUCGGACUGCCUGUUUCCACGAAGGUCUAGUGCUUCUGUUUCUGGCUCCCCUAGCGAUGGUGGAUUUAUUUCUUCUGAUGAGUAUGGUUCUAGCCCGUGUGACUUUCGCAGCUCUUUUCGCAGUGUCACCCCAGAUUCGUUGGGGCACACCCCGCCAGCUAGGGGUGAUGAAGAGCUCAACUACAUCUGCAUGGGGGGGAAGGCCACCUCAUCUUGCUGCAGCUUGGCAGCUCCCAAUGGCCACUUCAUCCCACGCACCUGCCACCCGCAGCAGCAGCCCCGCUACCCUAGUACGCCGUGCUGUCCCCGAGGUGGCAGCGAGGAUGUUGCCGACUUGGAGAAGGCCUUCAGAAAGCGGACUCACUCUGCAGGUACUUCACCCACCAUCUCCCACCAGAAGACCCCCUCGCAGUCUUCAGUGGCCUCCAUUGAGGAGUACACAGAGAUGUUGCCUUCUUACCCCUGUGGCGGUGGCCGGCUGCCCUCCUACCGGCACUCUGCCUUUGUGCCCACUCACUCCUACCCAGAGGAGUGUCUGGAGAUGCACCACCUGGAUGGCGGCCACCAUCGGACCAACUCUGCCCCUCACACAGAUGAUGGCUACAUGCCCAUGUCACCUGGCGUGGCCCCUGUCCCCAGCGGCGGGGUGCCCCCCAAGGGCGGUGACUACAUGCCCAUGAGUCCUAAGAGUGUGUCGGCCCCACAGCAGAUCAUCAACCCCGGCAGGGGGGGCCGCCACCCUCCAGCCACGGUGGACUCCAACGGCUACAUGAUGAUGUCCCCCAGCGGCAGCUACUCCCCGGACAGUGGCUCCGCAGGCUACGGCAAGAUCUGGACGAAUGGCGCCGGCCACCACCCGAAGCUCUCAGUGGAGAGCAAUGAGGGGAAGCUCCCUUGUGGCGGCAGUGACUACAUCAACAUGUCCCCAGCCAGCGGCUCCACCACCAGCACGCCACCCGACUGCUACUUUGGGGGUGCGGGGCAGCCGGGCGUCGAGGAGGCUGCUGCCGCGGCCCACCACAAACCCAUCUACUCUUACUUCUCGCUGCCACGCUCCUUCAAGCACGUGCACCGGCGCGGUGGUGGGGCAGCGGGUGAGGAGGGCAGCCCCCAGCCCCGUGUUGCGCUUGGUUCCAACCGCCUCCUCUAUGCUGCCGAGGACUCGUCCUCCUCUACCAGCAGCGACAGCCUGGGUGGCGGUGGUGGUGGCCCUGACGGUGUCCCCCCGUCCCACCCGCAGCCGCCGCGCAAGGUGGACACGGCCGUGCAGACCAAGGGCCGCCUGGCGCGACCCACACGCCUGUCGCUUGGCGGCCCCAAGGCCAGCACCCUGCCGCGGGCCCGGGAGCAGCCCCCGCUACUGCUGCCCCCGGAGCCCAAGAGCCCGGGGGAGUAUGUCAACAUCGAGUUCAUCGCGGGUGACAAGCCACCCUUCCCCGCGGCCGCCCUGGGCCUGCCACGGCCGCCAGGGAGUGAGGCCGCUGAGGAGUACAUGAACAUGGAGCUGGGCCCGCGGGCGGCCCCUGCGGCCCCCUCCGGCCGGGACUAUGUGACUAUGCGGCUGGGGGGCUCCUGCUCCGACAGCCCCUCGCCCUCCUCGCCAGCCCUUCUGCUGGGUUACGCCGAUAAACCCCCGGCGGUGGCUUCCCCGGAGCUGGCGGCAGCGGCGCCUUCGCGCUCCUCGUCCUCCUCCCUGCUCGGGGGGCCUGGCGCGGGCAGCGCCUUCACCCGCGUCAGCCUCAGCCCCGGCCGCACGCCCAGCGCCAAAGUGAUCCGUGCUGACCCGCAGGGCGGCCGCCGGCGGCACAGCUCGGAGACCUUCUCGUCCACACCAACUGCUGCCCGUGGAGCGCCAGGGGGCUGCCCCGGGGCACCGUUCCCCUGCGGGAGCGCAGGGGGAGCCGAGGAGGUGAAGCGCCACAGCUCGGCCUCCUUUGACAACGUGUGGUUGCGGCCCGCCGCCGGGGAGGCAGCCGCAGCCCCCGCUGCCCGCAGGGAGCCCGGGGCUGCCCCCGCAUUGGAGAACGGGCUCAAUUACAUUGACCUGGACCUGGUGAAGGAUUUUGGGCACCGCCGCCACCACCACCACCAUCAUCACCUGCACCCCGCCGCCGAGGGCGCCUCCCUGUCGGGGGGGAAGCCCCCGCCACCGCCGCAGCCCAAGUCCCCGAGCCAGCCUCGUGGGAGCGGCCACCCCAGCGAUGACUCGAGCGCGUACGCCAGCAUCAGCUUCCAGAAGCGGGAGGAGAUGUAGGAGCCAGGCGACAGCCAGGGAAGGUCUGCUGAGGCAGGGCCUGUCAUUUUAUUCUGUCUGCUCAGCAGCCAGCAAAGCGAGGCCUUCACCUGCGGCUGAGGCUGCCGCGCUCUUGCAGUGCAAGCAAUACAAAUAGCCUCUAUUGCAGGCUGUUGCACCCGCUCCAGUGCCAUGCUGGGCCGGGUCCAAACCCUCAACUUGCUGCCGAUAUUCAAAGUCUUCAUAAGGCUUAGAUCAGUGAGCCUCACCGUGCUUAUAAACGUCGACUGAAGCCGUCAGGCCUUCUCCCUCUCCUCCGUCCCAGUAGCUGUUUCUGCCGAAACAUGCCCAGAAGUGCUGGCUGUAGGAUUUUUUCAAGCCUGCAUCAUAAAGGUUAUAACCAGGAAUACGAUGUAUGUACCAGCUUCCUUUCCGCUGUGUUUAACUUUGAAUCACACGUGUAAUUUCUGUCAUUACCUUGUAAUCUGUCUUGCUGUCUCUACUUGCUGAUUGGAAUUUAAGAAUAACAGAGAGCUUUUUAAGAAGCCCAUCUUUCAUUAUUCUGUUAGAACUGGAUCUUUUUUAACAUCAAGUGAUAAUUGCUUAAAAAGGAAAUGACAUGAUCUGCCUCUUUUUUUUCUUUUUUUCUUUUUUUAUCAUCUCUGCAAUGGUUGCAGGGGUGUGCAACAUGCUUUGUGUGCCGUGUGAGCUGUGGACCUGGCUUCUCGGUGCAGUGGAGCAGACAGACAUGGUCACUGCCCUGAAAACUGCCUGAAACUUCAGCAUUUUGAAGAGGGAGGAAGAGCUCCCAACUCUUUCUGACCCGGGUCAUUUAACUUUGAAUCCUCAGUGAUUUCAGCAAUGAUGAAACUGGAUAGCCUGGGAGGUUCUUCUUUUUGAGGGCACCUGAGAACACCAGGCCAGGCAACUGACACAGACAAGCAAAAGAUUGACGACCUAUACAACCUCAGCAAAUCCUUCUUUGAACUCAUGGGUAUCAAGACUCUAAAUGUUUCAUGUUACCACAACUAGGACCUCACCUCCUCCUCCUCCUCUUCCUCUGUAAAUGGGUACGAUGCAUCCAGUUCAGUUUGUUUACUUUACACAAACCUCAGGAGUUAGUUGACUGAGCUGCACAUCCUGUGUUGUGCCAAGCAGAAGCACUGUGACACCUGGACAAUGAGUCUCUCUUACUUCAUCCUCUACCAUAAGGACUUAGCUGGCCACAAUGAACUGAUGUGCCCACCACUAUGUCAUGGUGAGAAUGGGUAUUUUACUAGCACAUUUACACAACUUCAUUUGCUGCUGAAAACCUGUAUGACAAAUCAUCAUUGUAAAUUAUUACAUACAAAACUUAAUGUUGGUUGAAGAGUAUUAAAUAUUUAACAUAGGUUUUGAUUUAUACAUGUACUUUUUUAAUUAAAAUGUAACUUUUCCUACAGCACAUCUUUUUUGAUGUGGAACUGAGGUAUACUAUAUUCUGUUGUAAACAGAGUGGGAAACCUGCUUAAAACAAGGCUUCUAAGAAUAGAGUUAGGGUACUAUUCUUGUUUUAAGAUUGUAAUUCAGAAAAUAAUAUAAUACAAGUCAUUGGUCCCUGGGCCUUGAUUGUACAGUCAUAUUUACUGAUACUAUCAGUUGUAAGAUAACCCUGAUGUUGAGCUGAGUUCUUUCCAAAAGAAAAGUAAUUUUGUACUCCUUGUAAAAUAAGUCUGUAUUAACUACAAUGAAGACAAAAUUUACUGUACAUGGUAUUUACAAGUGUCAACUUGAAUUCAUCAAUUGCACAGGAACUGAGAAAAAAAAAUCAGAAAAAAAAGAAAUCAAAGUCUUCCAUUGUAUAUAUUGUAAAGAAAAGGAAAAAAAAAAAAACAACCAACAGAAAACCACAAAACAAAAUGAACACAAAAAAGGGUGAACUUUUCAAAUUAACUCUUUCCCUGGAAUGAAAAUGUGGGUGUUUGUAAAUUCUGGAAAUCUCUUUCUAUAUGUAAUAAACUAGAUACUGUUUUAUCUGCU
Molecule: RNA transcript, 6579 nt
Organism: Oxyura jamaicensis (ruddy duck)
Lineage: Eukaryota; Metazoa; Chordata; Aves; Anseriformes; Anatidae
Gene: IRS1
Gene name: insulin receptor substrate 1
Exons: 3
Source: RefSeq, a predicted model, not a curated record